GCAGUCANGGAGAACAUUUUCUUCGGAAAAUUAUUAAACUGGCGAACGGGUGAGUAACACGUAGGUAACCUGCCUUGAAGAUUGGGAUAACUCCGGGAAACCGGAGCUAAUACCGAAUAAUGCAGCGAAUCCUUAGGGAUAUGUUGUUAAAGCGGGCUUCGGCUCGCACUUCGAGAUGGGCCUGCGACCGAUUAGCUUGUUGGUGAGGUAAUGGCUCACCAAGGCGAUGAUCGGUAGCUGGUCUGAGAGGAUGAUCAGCCACACUGGGAUUGAGAUACGGCCCAGACUCCUACGGGAGGCAGCAGUGGGGAAUUUUGCGCAAUGGACGAAAGUCUGACGCAGCAACGCCGCGUGAUUGAUGAAGCUUUUAGGAGUGUAAAGAUCUGUCGUGAGGGAAGAAAAACCUGGAUGUAAAUAAUGUUCAGGCGUGACGGUACCUCACAAGAAAGCACCGGCUAACUUCGUGCCAGCAGCCGCGGUAAUACGAGGGGUGCUAGCGUUGUCCGGAAUUACUGGGCGUAAAGGGUCCGUAGGCGUCUUGACAAGUUGAUCGUUAAAUCCACCGGCUUAACCGGUGAUCUGCGGUCAAAACUGGCAGGAUAGAAUAUGUGAGAGGAAAGUAGAAUUCCUGGUGUAGCGGUGACAUGCGUAGAUAUCAGGAGGAACACCAAUGGCGAAGGCAGCUUUCUGGCACAAUAUUGACGCUGAGGGACGAAAGCGUGGGGAGCGAACAGGAUUAGAUACCCUGGUAGUCCACGCCGUAAACGAUGAGUACUUGGUGGUGGGAGAUUCGACCCUCUCACUAUCGGA
RNAcentral lists this ribosomal RNA (810 nucleotides) under uncultured Fidelibacterota bacterium. RNAcentral describes it as "SSU rRNA". It matches the Rfam family "Bacterial small subunit ribosomal RNA", at positions 57 to 850 of the family's 1533-position model. The record is from RNAcentral. Lineage: Bacteria; Pseudomonadati; Fidelibacterota.